UGGGGAAUAUUGCACAAUGGGCGCAAGCCUGAUGCAGCCAUGCCGCGUGUAUGAAGAAGGCCUUCGGGUUGUAAAGUACUUUCAGCGGGGAGAAGGCGAUAAGGUUAAUAACCUUGUCGAUUGACGUUACCCGCAGAAGAAGCACCGGCUAACUCCGUGCCAGCAGCCGCGGUAAUACGGAGGGUGCAAGCGUUAAUCGGAAUUACUGGGCGUAAAGCGCACGCAGGCGGUCUGCCAAGUCGGAUGUGAAAUCCCCGGGCUCAACCUGGGAACUGCAUUCGAAACUGGCAGGCUAGAGUCUUGUAGAGGGGGGUAGAAUUCCAGGUGUAGCGGUGAAAUGCGUAGAGAUCUGGAGGAAUACCGGUGGCGAAGGCGGCCCCCUGGACAAAGACUGACGCUCAGGUGCGAAAGCGUGGGGAGCAAACA
This 426-nucleotide ribosomal RNA is filed under the name uncultured bacterium. RNAcentral's name for it is "partial 16S ribosomal RNA". It matches the Rfam family "Bacterial small subunit ribosomal RNA", at positions 355 to 774 of the family's 1533-position model. The record is from RNAcentral.